Long non-coding RNA from Aedes albopictus (Asian tiger mosquito), 939 nucleotides. RefSeq lists it as uncharacterized. The transcript is spliced from 3 exons. NCBI's taxonomy places the organism in Eukaryota, Metazoa, Arthropoda, Insecta, Diptera, Culicidae. The record is from RefSeq and is a predicted model, not a curated record.
UGCGCUGUAUAGUGUAUACCAGAUCCGCUAUACAGUGCACCACUUCCAAAGUUGGGUCCGGCGCACGAAUUUAGAGAAAACCAUUUUCGUUAGCCGAAAACUCUAAUUUUCAACUAAAUUGAAAAUACAGGAACGACGGCAUCAGUUUAGUCGCUUACGCUGCCAACUUGAUCUCAGCGGCGUGCAUGGUAGGGGCAUCCCGCAUAUUGCAUUGCACUCAUUGUCGAUUGAAAUUUAAAAAAUCUUACAAUUCUUUUAUGUUUCAAGGUUCAUCGAAAACGAAAAAUGUUUUUUCAACCUAUCUUGGACAAACUGGUGGCAACCAUGAAACCAUCGUUCGGAAUUGCAAAACGCGCAAUGCUACAGGAAGGAAGCGUAUGUGAAACGCAGUUUAGAAGAAAAGGAAGUUCUAGAUAUAUGUAUCAUCAAUGGACUACAAUUGUACACAGUUGAAUAGAAAAAAAAACAAACUUCCAAAAUAUUUCCGAAUUAUUUCCGAAGUUUGACAACUUGAAGCAUCCACGAUUAUAGCAUCUAAUGGAUUUAAGAGUAGCAAGCAACUGAUGAGUUUCCCUCGGUGGGGUAUAAAAGAAUUACAAUACAUUUACCUUCCCUAUGUUCACCUACAACAUGCUGGAAUCGAAAACAUAAUGGCAGCGCACUUUGCUGGAACCAUACCACGUUUUAAUAUAAUCGAGCCGCAUGGAAGGUUUAAUUUUAUCGAUGAAUUUAUUAGCGUGCGACUGGAUACCGUCAUACGAAGUACCUCUCAAUAAUGAUUGUGGUUUUAUAACACCUUGUCUAAUGCUUCAUGACAAAUGUGAUAUCAAUUUUCUAAUUCAUAAAUUAAUUUUCAAAUUAUGUAUUAAUUUGUUGUAAAACUAUCAUUAUUUCCUUGAAAUAAUAAGAUUGAAUAAUUCUUCAUCGAGUCCUAUUUCC